AGUGAACGCUGGCGGUAUGCCUAAUACAUGCAAGUCGAACGACAACACAGUAAGAUUUUUCCCUUACGGUUGGCGAGUGGCGGACGGGUGAGGAGUACAUCACAUUCUUCUUUUUCGUGGAUGACAUCGUAGGGAAACUUAUGCUAAUACCUCAUAUGUCCUACGGGUUAAAUCAGUGGUUCUUCGCACUUUUCCUGACUCUAUUAGCUGAAUCCGCAUUAGCUAGUUGGCGUGGUAACGGCCCACCAAGGCGACGAUGCGUAGCUGAUCUGAGAGGAUGAUCAGCCACACUGGAACUGAGACACGGUCCAGACUCCUACGGGAGGCAGCAGUAGGGAAUAUUGCACAAUGGGCGCAAGCCUGACGCAGCAACGCCGCGUGGGUGAAGAAGGUCUUCGGGUUGUAAAACCCUUUUAUUGGGAAAGAAAAAAAGUAGAUUUAACCACGGCUGUUCUGACGGUACCCAAAGAGUAAGCAACGGCUAACUUCGUG
This 492-nucleotide ribosomal RNA is filed under the name uncultured bacterium. RNAcentral's name for it is "partial 16S ribosomal RNA". It matches the Rfam family "Bacterial small subunit ribosomal RNA", at positions 29 to 507 of the family's 1533-position model. The record is from RNAcentral.